UACGGGGGGGGCAAGCGUUGUUCGGAAUUACUGGGCGUAAAGGGCUCGUAGGUGGCCAACUAAGUCAGACGUGAAAUCCCUCGGCUUAACCGGGGAACUGCGUCUGAUACUGGAUGGCUUGAGUUCGGGAGAGGGAUGCGGAAUUCCAGGUGUAGCGGUGAAAUGCGUAGAUAUCAGGAAGAACACCCGUGGCGAAGGCGGUUCUCUGGGACGGUACUGACGCUGAGACGCGAAAGCGUGGGGAGCGAACAGG
This 253-nucleotide ribosomal RNA is filed under the name uncultured bacterium. RNAcentral's name for it is "partial 16S ribosomal RNA". It matches the Rfam family "Bacterial small subunit ribosomal RNA", at positions 524 to 776 of the family's 1533-position model. The record is from RNAcentral.